ACGGCUCAGUAACACGUAGACAACCUACCCUUAGGACGGGUAUAAACCCGGGAAACUGGGUAUAAUCCCCGAUAGUCCUCGACUGCUGGAAUGCAUCGAGGGCGAAAGCUCCGGCGCCUAAGGAUGGGUCUGCGGCCUAUCAGGUAGUAGUGGGUGUAACGUACCCACUAGCCUACGACGGGUACGGGUUGUGAGAGCAAGAGCCCGGAGAUGGAUUCUGAGACACGAAUCCAGGCCCUACGGGGCGCAGCAGGCGCGAAAACUUUACAAUGCGAGCAAUCGUGAUAAGGGGACCCCGAGUGCCUGUAUACGCAGGCUGUUCAGGUGUCUAAAAAACACCUGGAGAAAGGGCCGGGCAAGACCGGUGCCAGCCGCCGCGGUAAUACCGGCGGCUCGAGUGGUGGCCACUAUUACUGGGCUUAAAGCGUCCGUAGCUGGGUUGUUAAGUCUCCUGGGAAAUCUGCCGGCUUAACCGUCAGGCGUUCAGGAGGUACUGGCAAUCUAGGGACCGGGGGAGGUGAGAGGUACUCCGGGGGUAGGAGUGAAAUCCUGUAAUCCUCGGGGGACCACCUGUGGCGAAGGCGUCUCACCAGAACGGCUCCGACAGUGAGGGACGAAAGCUGGGGGAGCAAACCGGAUUAGAUACCCGGGUAGUCCCAGCUGUAAACGAUGCAAACUCGGUGAUGCAUUGGCUUAUGGCCAAUGCAGUGCCGCAGGGAAGCCGUUAAGUUUGCCGCCUGGGAAGUACGGACGCAAGUCUGAAACUUAAAGGAAUUGGCGGGGGAG
This 786-nucleotide ribosomal RNA is filed under the name uncultured archaeon. RNAcentral describes it as "bacterial SSU rRNA". It matches the Rfam family "Archaeal small subunit ribosomal RNA", at positions 85 to 876 of the family's 1478-position model. The record is from RNAcentral.